UCCAUCUUCCUUGGAGAGUCCUUUCUACUUGUAUGACAGAUGGCCUGAGGGACUUGUGAAGAUGAGGAUGCUGGUGCCUGGCCAUUGCUGAAGAGACUCCAUGUAGCAGCUGACACUUGCAACCCUGGGACUUUGGAAGCUGAGGUAACAAAAGCUUGUUGAGAGUUUGAGGCCAGCUUAAAAGGUGAGCCUAUGGGCUGGGGCUGGAGAGAUGGUUCAGUGGUUAGGAACACUUGUUCUCACAGAGAGCCCGAGUUGCUGAGUGUGUUGUUCCAUGCCUUUAAUCCCAGCAUUCAGGAUCCAAAAGUAGGUAGACCACAUUCUCUGACAAAGUUUUAUUAUAAAACUGGUAACAAAAUAUGUCCUAAACACACAGUUGAAUGGUCCACAGGUGUGGUCUAGAUGCCCAUGUCAGAGCUCUGGGCAGGCACACGUGUACUGGGACAAAGAAGUUUUCUGGUCCUAGGGUUUGGAUUCUGAACACAGCCUCAAGAAAAUUCUUAGCAUGUUCUCUUCAGGAGGUGCACUCUGCUGGCUCUACCUUACUCCAUCCUGAUGAUGAUGAUGAUAAUAACAAACAAAGACAACAAUAUAUCAAUAAUAUAAUACUUAUGCAUAUUAUUAUUAAGUAAUCGUUUCUAAAAUGUGGCUUGGACCACACCUGUCAUCCAAGCACUCAAGAGCCUGAGGCCAGAAGAUUGUUCGUGGACGUCCAGAGCUAGAGUAAGUUCCAGUAGCGCUGGGAUACAGUGAGACUCCGUCUCGACAAAGCAAAUCCACACAAAACUUUGGUGGUGAUUAAAGAGCUGGACAUCAUAGCCGGCUUCUUCCAGCAGUCCUGACUCCUGGCACACCGCUGAGCCAACCACAUUCAAAUACUCAAAAGUAAACAUUUGUUGAGUGAACUUAUGAACAAACGGCGGCGUCAAUCUUCCCGCCCUCAUUACUGGUAGCCAGUGCCCGCCCGGCCUGUCACCCUCAGGCUAAAACCCCCGCAGGUGGCGCAACGGACAACCUAAGCCUCCUCGCUAGACCAACAAGGACUGCAUUUCCCAGAAGACUCUGCGCGGGCCCACGACUCCCUGUGAGCUUCUCUUUCUCCAGGCUCUGGUUCUUCAGUCAGGGGGUCCGCUUUGCGUGCUCACUCCCCGGUCACUGCAAUCCCAUUCCCUGUACCUUUCUGAACUUCCAUUCCACGAUGAUCCUGCCUCAGUUUCUCCAGUGAGCCCCCCGCGAGGCUUCCCCUCCUCCCCGUGCCCCCAGUGAGCCGUGCUGCGCGCGCAGCUCUGGUCCAGCCUCAUUGAGGGGACGAGUCGCAGGUAUUCCUGGACCAUGGAGACAUCCUCGCCGAGGGCGGCAGUCCGCGCUUCCGGGUGUGUCUGCAGUUCUGUGUGCCGCCGCGUAGGGUGGGACCCCGAGACUGCAGCCUGGCACGUGAUGUGUGUGUGUGUGUGUGUCUUGUCUGAUGUGUCGGUGUCCCUGACGGCCAGGUUCCAGCCUUACCUCUGCCUAUCCCCUGUUCUGUGCAUGGGGCAGGUGACUGCCCCUCUCUGUGCCUCAGUUUCCUUACCUAUACAUUGGGCAUGAAAAAAGAACCUGUCUUGGGGGCUGUUGUAAUGAUUGGAAGGUAAUACUGUAAAUCUUGGGAAACGCCUGGCGCAGAGUAAAUCCUGCCAAGAAUAAAUACAUG
RNAcentral lists this long non-coding RNA (1690 nucleotides) under Mus musculus (house mouse). RNAcentral describes it as "long non-coding RNA chr7:45782607-45784297". Lineage: Eukaryota; Metazoa; Chordata; Mammalia; Rodentia; Muridae. The record is from RNAcentral.